CCACGGGAGGCAGCAGUGGGGAAUAUUGGGCAACGGGCGCAAGCCUGACCCAGCAACGCCGCGUGAAGGAAGAAGGCUUUCGGGUUGUAAACUUCUUUUCUCAGGGACGAAGAAAGUGACGGUACCUGAGGAAUAAGCCACGGCUAACUACGUGCCAGCAGCCGCGGUAAUACGUAGGUGGCAAGCGUUAUCCGGAUUUACUGGGUGUAAAGGGCGUGUAGGCGGGACUGCAAGUCAGAUGUGAAAACCACGGGCUCAACCUGUGGCCUGCAUUUGAAACUGUAGUUCUUGAGUACUGGAGAGGCAGACGGAAUUCCUAGUGUAGCGGUGAAAUGCGUAGAUAUUAGGAGGAACACCAGUGGCGAAGGCGGUCUGCUGGACAGCAACUGACGCUGAGGCGCGAAAGCGUGGGGAGCAAACAGGAUUAGAUACCCCAGUAGUC
Molecule: ribosomal RNA, 442 nt
Filed under: uncultured bacterium
Lineage: Bacteria
Description: partial 16S ribosomal RNA
Rfam family: Bacterial small subunit ribosomal RNA
Source: RNAcentral